Molecule: ribosomal RNA, 487 nt
Filed under: uncultured bacterium
Lineage: Bacteria
Description: bacterial SSU rRNA
Rfam family: Bacterial small subunit ribosomal RNA
Source: RNAcentral
AACGAACGCUGGCGGCGCGCUUAACACAUGCAAGUCGAACGAGAAGGCGUAGCAAUACGCUUGUACAGUGGCGAACGGGUGAGUAAUACGUGGGCGACCUACCCUCGAGUGGGGAAUAACCCGCCGAAAGGCGGGCUAAUGCCGCGUACGCUUCCAUCUUUAUGGAGGUGGAAGGAAAGCCGUGCCGUGGGCACGGCGCUCAAGGAUGGGCUCACGUCCUAUCAGCUUGUUGGUAGGGAACGGCCUACCAAGGCUCCGACGGGUAGCUGGUCUGAGAGGACGAUCAGCCACACUGGCACUGCGACACGGGCCAGACUCCUACGGGAGGCAGCAGUGAGGAAUAUUGCGCAAUGGGCGAAAGCCUGACGCAGCGACGCCGCGUGGGGGAUGAAGGUCUUCGGAUUGUAAACCCCUUUCGGGAGGGAAGAUGGGACGGGCGAACCGUUCGGACGGUACCUCCAGAAGCAGCCACGGCUAACUUCGUGCC